GAUGAACGCUGGCGGUGUGCCUAAUACAUGCAAGUCGAACGGGCUCUUCGGAGCUAGUGGCGGACGGGUGAGUAACACGUUGGUACCUACCCCUAAGUGGGGAAUAACUGCCCGAAAGGGUGGCUAAUACCGCAUAAUCCCGCAAGGGUAAAGCAGUAAUGCGCUUAGGGAGGGGCCUGCGUCUGAUUAGCUAGUUGGUAGGGUAAUUGCCUACCAAGGCGACGAUCAGUAGCUGGAUCGAGAGGUUGACCAGCCACACUGGGACUGAGAUACGGCCCAGACUCCUACGGGAGGCAGCAGUAAGGAAUCUUCCACAAUGGACGAAAGUCUGAUGGAGCAACACCGCAUGCAGGAUGACGGUCUUCGGAUUGUAAACUGCUUUUAUAUGGGAAGAUUAUGACGGUACCAUAUGAAUAAGGACCGGCUAACUACGUGCCAGCCGCCGCUGUAA
This 451-nucleotide ribosomal RNA is filed under the name uncultured bacterium. RNAcentral describes it as "partial 16S ribosomal RNA". It matches the Rfam family "Bacterial small subunit ribosomal RNA", at positions 28 to 523 of the family's 1533-position model. The record is from RNAcentral.